GACGAACGCUGGCGGCGUGCUUAACACAUGCAAGUCGAACGGAAAGGCCCUGCUUUUGUGGGGUGCUCGAGUGGCGAACGGGUGAGUAACACGUGAGUAACCUGCCCUUGACUUUGGGAUAACUUCAGGAAACUGGGGCUAAUACCGGAUAGGAGCUCCUGCUGCAUGGUGGGGGUUGGAAAGUUUCGGCGGUUGGGGAUGGACUCGCGGCCUAUCAGCUUGUUGGUGGGGUAGUGGCUUACCAAGGCUUUGACGGGUAGCCGGCCUGAGAGGGUGACCGGCCACAUUGGGACUGAGAUACGGCCCAGACUCCUACGGGAGGCAGCAGUGGGGAAUAUUGCACAAUGGGCGGAAGCCUAAUGCAGCAACGCCGCGUGCGGGAUGACGGCCUUCGGGUUGUAAACCGCUUUCGCCUGUGACGAAGCGUGAGUGACGGUAAUGGGUAAAGAAGCACCGGCUAACUACGUG
Molecule: ribosomal RNA, 468 nt
Filed under: uncultured bacterium
Lineage: Bacteria
Description: partial 16S ribosomal RNA
Rfam family: Bacterial small subunit ribosomal RNA
Source: RNAcentral